This 448-nucleotide ribosomal RNA is filed under the name uncultured bacterium. RNAcentral's name for it is "partial 16S ribosomal RNA". It matches the Rfam family "Bacterial small subunit ribosomal RNA", at positions 29 to 523 of the family's 1533-position model. The record is from RNAcentral.
AACGGACGCUGGCGGCAUGCCUAACACAUGCAAGUCGAACGAGAUCUUCGGGUCUAGUGGCGCACGGGUGCGUAACGCGUGGGAAUCUGCCCUUUGGUUCGGAAUAACAGUUGGAAACGACUGCUAAUACCGGAUGAUGACGAAAGUCCAAAGAUUUAUCGCUAGAGGAUGAGCCCGCGUAGGAUUAGCUAGUUGGUGUGGUAAAGGCGCACCAAGGCGACGAUCCUUAGCUGGUCUGAGAGGAUGACCAGCCACACUGGGACUGAGACACGGCCCAGACUCCUACGGGAGGCAGCAGUGGGGAAUAUUGGACAAUGGGCGAAAGCCUGAUCAGCAAUGCCGCGUGAGUGAUGAAGGCCUUAGGGUUGUAAAGCUCUUUUACCCGGGAUGAUAAUGACAGUACCGGGAGAAUAAGCUCCGGCUAACUCCGUGCCAGCAGCCGCCGUAA